RNAcentral lists this ribosomal RNA (2977 nucleotides) under Paenibacillus larvae. RNAcentral describes it as "23S ribosomal RNA". It matches the Rfam family "Bacterial large subunit ribosomal RNA". The record is from RNAcentral. Lineage: Bacteria; Bacillati; Bacillota; Bacilli; Caryophanales; Paenibacillaceae.
GGUUAAGCUGGUAAGAGCACACGGAGGGAUGCCUAGGCGCUAGGAGCCGAAGAAGGACGUGGCGAACAACGAUAUGCCCCGGGGAGUCGUAAGCAGACUUUGAUCCGGGGAUGUCCGAAUGAGGGGAACCCGGCUGCGGUUAUGCGCAGUCACUCACUUCUGAAUCCAUAGGAAGUGAAGGGCAGACCAGGGGAACUGAAACAUCUAAGUACCUGAGAAGAAAACAAUCGUGAUUCCGUCAGCUGGCAGGCAGAAAGCGGAGGAGCCCAAACCAGAGAGCUUGCUCACUGGGGUUGUGGGACACCUUAUACGGAGUUACAAAGGGAGCAGAUUAGAGCGAAGAGGUCUGGAAAGGCCUGCCACAGAAGGAGUAACAGCCCUGUAGCUGAAAGUCUGCUCUCUCCAAGGUGGAUCCCAGUACGGCAGGACACGGGAAACCCCCGUCGGAAUCCGGCAGGACCAUCUGCCAAGGCUAAAUACUCCCUAGCGACCGAGUGAAGCAGUACCGUGAGGAAAGGUAAGCACCCCGGGAGGAAGUGAGAACCCUGAAACCGUGUGCUUACAAGAAUUGACCCUAUGAUUUCUUCAGGAAAUCAAGGGGUAGUGUUUGUCCCUUUAUUAAAAUGAACCGGCGAGUUACGCCCAUGCAAGGUUAAGGUGAAGAGCCGGAGCCGCAGCGGUCUGAACAGGGCGAAACAUAAGCUUACGAAGUAGCAAUGCUUUGUGUUAGCGGAAGUAUGCAGGCGUAGACCCGAAACCGUGUGAUCUGCCUGUCCAGGGUGAGAGGUGAGGUAACACUCUGGAGGCCCGAACCCCACAGAUGUUGAAAAAUUCCCGGGGAUGUGAGGUGGGGGUAGCGGAGAAUUCGAAAUCGAACUCGGAGAUAGCUGGUUCUCCUCGAAAUAGCUUUAGGGCUAGCCUCGGGUUAGAGUGAUGGAGGUAAAGCACUGAUUGGGUGCAGGGCCCGCCAAGGGUUACCAAGUCUAGUCAAACUCUGAAUGCCAUCCUCCCCGGUGCCCGGGAGUCAGACAGUGAGUGCUAAGAUCCGUUGUCAAGAGGACAGCCCAGAUCAUCAGCUAAGGUCCCCAAGUGUGUGUUAAGUGAAGGAUGGGUGCACAGACAGCCAGGAUGUUGACUAAAGCAAUGCCGCCAUUUAAAGAGUGCGUAAUAGCUCACUGGUCGAGUGACUCUGCGCCGAAAAUGUAACGGGCUAAAUACACCACCGAAGCUAUGGGUCCUAAUUAAGGGCAGUAGGGGAGCGUUCCAAGCAGCAUGAAGAGUUGAGUAUUGAGGACAGCUGGAGCGCUUGGAAGUGAGAAUACCGGUAUGAGUAACGAAAAGAUCGAGUGAGAAUCUGAUCCGCCGAAAGCCCUAAGGGUUCCUGAGGAAGGUUCGUCCGCUCAGGGUAAGUCGGGACCUAAGGCCGGGGCCGAAAGGCGUAGUCGAAGGACAACAGGCAGAAAUUCCUGUACCACCAAACACCGCUAUGAGCGAUGGGGUGACACAGUAGGGUAGGGACACCCAAGCUGAUGGAAGUGCUUGUCCAAGCAGUGAGGCUGGUGUGCAGGCAAAUCCGCACACGAUGAAAGCCGGGCUGUGACGGGGAGUGAAAAUAGCAGUAACCCGAAGGUCUUGAUCUCACUGUCAAGAAAAGCCUCUAGCCAGGUGCAGGUGCCCGUACCGCAAACCGACACAGGUAGGCGAGAAGAGAAUUCUAAGGCGCGCGGAAGAACUCUCGUUAGGAACUCGGCAAAAUGACCCCGUAACUUAGGGAGAAGGGGUGCCCCGGUAGAGUGAAUAGCUCGAGGGCCGCAGUGAAUAGGCCCAAGCGACUGUUGGCAAAAACACAGGUCUAUGCGAAGCCGCAAGGCGAAGUAUAUGGGCUGACGCCUGCCCAGUGCUGGAAGGUUGGGGGGGGGGGGGGGGGGGGGGGGGGGGGGGGGGGGGGGGGGAGUGGUUAGGGCUUAAGGCCCGAGCUAUGAACCGAAGCCCCAGUAAACGGCGGCCGUAACUAUAACAGUCCUAAGGUAGCGAAAUUCUUGUCAGGUAAAUUCUGGCCCGCACGAAUGGCGUAACGGCAGGCGCUGUCUCAACAGAAGUCGGUGGUGCAAUACCUGUGAAGAUGCAGGUUACCCGCGACAUAGGAACGGAAAGACCCCAUGGGCUUUACCUUGAUAUUGGACUUUGGUACGAUCUGUACAGCGGAUAGGUGGGAGCCUAAGAAGCCGGAGCGCCAGCUUCGGUGGAGGCAACGUUGGGAUACCACUCUGAUCAUCAGGUUCUAACGGGAUCCGUGAACCGGUUCGGGGACAGUGUCGAUGUCAACGGAUUUGACUGGGGCGGUCGCCUCUAAAAAUAACGGAGGCGCCCCAAGAGUUUCUCAGAAUGGUUGGAAAUCAUUCGAAGAGUGCAAAAGGCAGAAGGGAGCUUGACUGCGAGACCUACAAGUCGAGCAGGGACGAAAAGUCGGGCUUAGUGAUCCGGUGGUACCGCAUGGAAGGGGGCCAUCGCUCAACGGAUAAAAGCUACCCUGGGGAUAACAGGCUUAUCUCCCCCAGAGUCCACAUCGACGGGAGGUUUGGCACCUCGAUGUCGGCUCAUCGCAUCCUGGGGCUGAAGUAGGUCCCAAGGGUUGGGCUGUUCGCCCAUUAAAGCGAAGUACGCGAGCUGGAGUUCAGAACGUCGUGAGACAGUUCCGGUCCCUAUCUGUCGUGGGCGCAGAAGUUGAGAGGAGCUGUCCUUAGUACGAGAGGACCGGGAUGGACGUACCGCUGGUGUACAGUUGUUCUGUGGGAGCACAGCUGGGUAACUAUGUACGGAAGGGAUAAGCGCUGAAGGCAUCUAAGCGUGAAGCCCGCCUCAGAUGAAUUUCCCAAGUAAGUAAGACCCCUUGAAGACGACGAGGUAGAUAGGUUGGGGGGUGGAAGCGCAGCAAUGCGUGGAGCUGAUAAUACUAAUCGGUCGAGGUUUUAUCCUA